UGGGGAAUCUUGCACAAUGGGCGCAAGCCUGAUGCAGCAACGCCGCGUGAACGAUGAAGGUCUUCGGAUCGUAAAGUUCCGUUGCAGGGGAAGAUAAUGACGGUACCCUGUGAGGAAGCCCCGGCUAACUACGUGCCAGCAGCCGCGGUAAUACGCAGGGGGCUAGCGUUAUCCGGAUUUACUGGGCGUAAAGGGUGCGUAGGUGGUCUUUCAAGUCGGUGGUUAAAGGCUACGGCUCAACCGUAGUUAGCCUCCGAAACUGGAAGACUUGAGUGCAGGAGAGGAAAGUGGAAUUCCCAGUGUAGCGGUGAAAUGCGUAGAUAUUGGGAGGAACACCAGUAGCGAAGGCGGCUUUCUGGACUGCAACUGACACUGAGGCACGAAAGCGUGGGUAGCAAACAGG
Molecule: ribosomal RNA, 403 nt
Filed under: Verrucomicrobiota bacterium
Lineage: Bacteria; Pseudomonadati; Verrucomicrobiota
Description: Verrucomicrobia bacterium partial 16S ribosomal RNA
Rfam family: Bacterial small subunit ribosomal RNA
Source: RNAcentral